UGGGGGAAUAUUGGGCAAUGGGCGAAAGCCUGACCCAGCGACGCCGCGUGAGGGAAGACGGUCUUCGGAUUGUAAACCUUUGUCAACAGGAACGAAACAAAUGACGGUACCUGUGGAGGAAGCCACGGCUAACUACGUGCCAGCAGCCGCGGUAAUACGUAGGGGGCGAGCGUUGUCCGGAAUUACUGGGCGUAAAGGGAGCGUAGGCGGUUAAUUAAGUUAGAUGUGAAAUACCCGGGCUUAACUUGGGGGGUGCAUCUAAUACUGGUAAACUAGAGUACAGGAGAGGAAAGCGGAAUUCCUAGUGUAGCGGUGAAAUGCAUAGAUAUUAGGAGGAACAUCGGUGGCGAAGGCGGCUUUCUGGACUGACACUGACGCUGAGGCUCGAAAGCGUGGGGAGCAAACAGGAUUAGAUACCCUGGUAGU
This 426-nucleotide ribosomal RNA is filed under the name uncultured Oxobacter sp. RNAcentral's name for it is "bacterial SSU rRNA". It matches the Rfam family "Bacterial small subunit ribosomal RNA", at positions 354 to 794 of the family's 1533-position model. The record is from RNAcentral. Lineage: Bacteria; Bacillati; Bacillota; Clostridia; Eubacteriales; Clostridiaceae.